Molecule: ribosomal RNA, 474 nt
Filed under: uncultured bacterium
Lineage: Bacteria
Description: bacterial SSU rRNA
Rfam family: Bacterial small subunit ribosomal RNA
Source: RNAcentral
ACCUCCUACGGGAGGCAGCAGUGGGGAAUAUUGCACAAUGGGCGUAAGCCUGAUGCAGCCAUGCCGCGUGUGUGAAGAAGGCCUUCGGGUUGUAAAGCACUUUCAGUCGUGAGGAAGGUAGUGUAGUUAAUAGCUGCAUUAUUUGACGUUAGCGACAGAAGAAGCACCGGCUAACUCCGUGCCAGCAGCCGCGGUAAUACGGAGGGUGCGAGCGUUAAUCGGAAUUACUGGGCGUAAAGCGCAUGCAGGUGGUUUGUUAAGUCAGAUGUGAAAGCCCGGGGCUCAACCUCGGAAUUGCAUUUGAAACUGGCAGACUAGAGUACUGUAGAGGGGGGUAGAAUUUCAGGUGUAGCGGUGAAAUGCGUAGAGAUCUGAAGGAAUACCGGUGGCGAAGGCGGCCCCCUGGACAGAUACUGACACUCAGAUGCGAAAGCGUGGGGAGCAAACAGGAUUAGAUACCCUGGUAGGAUAGCG